This 205-nucleotide ribosomal RNA is filed under the name uncultured bacterium. RNAcentral's name for it is "partial 16S ribosomal RNA". It matches the Rfam family "Bacterial small subunit ribosomal RNA", at positions 568 to 773 of the family's 1533-position model. The record is from RNAcentral.
CAUGUAGGCGGUUUUUUAAGUCUGGAGUGAAAAUGCGGGGCUCAACCCCGUAUGGCUCUGGAUACUGGAAGACUUGAGUGCAGGAGAGGAAAGGGGAAUUCCCAGUGUAGCGGUGAAAUGCGUAGAUAUUGGGAGGAACACCAGUGGCGAAGGCGCCUUUCUGGACUGUGUCUGACGCUGAGAUGCGAAAGCCAGGGUAGCAACG